RNAcentral lists this ribosomal RNA (210 nucleotides) under uncultured bacterium. Its description in RNAcentral is "partial 16S ribosomal RNA". It matches the Rfam family "Bacterial small subunit ribosomal RNA", at positions 524 to 732 of the family's 1533-position model. The record is from RNAcentral.
UACGUAGGGUGCAAGCGUUAAUCGGAAUUACUGGGCGUAAAGCGUGCGCAGGCGGUUAUGUAAGACAGAUGUGAAAUGCCCGGGCUUAACCUGGGAACUGCAUUUGUGACUGCAUGGCUAGAAUCUGGCAGAGGGGGGUAGAAUUCCACGUGUAGCGGUGAAAUGCGUAGAGAUGUGGAGGAACACCGAUGGCCGAAGGCAGCCCCCUGG